Molecule: ribosomal RNA, 494 nt
Filed under: uncultured Porphyromonadaceae bacterium
Lineage: Bacteria; Pseudomonadati; Bacteroidota; Bacteroidia; Bacteroidales; Porphyromonadaceae
Description: bacterial SSU rRNA
Rfam family: Bacterial small subunit ribosomal RNA
Source: RNAcentral
GGUGAACGCUAGCGAUAGGCUUAACACAUGCAAGUCGAGGGGCAGCAUAGAAUUAGUUUACUAAUUUUGAUGGCGACCGGCGGAUGGGUGAGUAACGCGUAUGCAAUCUACCUUUUACACAGGGAUAGCCCGGAGAAAUUCGGAUUAAUACUUGAUGAGAUAUUAGAACCGCAUGGUUUCGAUAUUAAAGAUUUAUUGGUAAAAGAUGAGCAUGCGUUCCAUUAGCUAGUUGGUAAGGUCACGGCUUACCAAGGCAACGAUGGAUAGGGGGAACUGAGAGGUUUACUCCCCCACACUGGGACUGAGACACGGCCCAGACUCCUACGGGAGCAGCAGUGAGGAAUAUUGGUCAAUGGGGCGAGAGCCUAAACCAGCCAAAUCGCGUGAAGGAUGACUGCCCUAGGGUUGUAAACUUCUUUUAUACAGGAAUAAAUGAUCAUACGUGUAUGAUUUUGCAUGUACUGUAUGAAUAAGCAUCGGCUAACUCCGUGCCA